CAGGAACAGAGCGGGAGAGAGAGAGAGCCAGGGACAACAACGUCACAUUAGAAAAGCAAUAUUGAGGAAAGUUUUAACAGCUGAUCAUGGAGCAGGAUGAAGGUCAAAGGUCGCUUCUGGUUAUGCUGCCAUCCGGUGUAGUCAUCCAGCUGGUCCGUGCUAUAUCGCCCCCUGGCCCGGAGUGCACUGACUCAACAGCUGCGUCACCCCUACGCUUCAGGAACCCCCUCCCUCUCUGAUUCCAUGCUCCUUAUGGAGCAUAUUACACAGGCCUGAAAAUGACUAGACACUUCUGGAGUAUUUCUGGUAGGGUCAAAAGGUCAGGAUUGAGGCCUUCAAUAGUAAAUAUGUCGUAUUUGAAGACGUAGCCCCACUUUCCACACCCCUCAAAAGGUAGAGGCCAUUCUCCCCGCAAGCUCCUCAGAGCCGGUAUCUGGCUGCGGAACAUGAAGACGCUCUUAUUUCUCCCCUCUUUCCGCGGAGCAUCGGUUGCUUCUGAUUUGUUACUGUAGAUGCUGACGGGGGUGUCGCUGAUAACCGACGAGGACCAGCUGCUGCUGCCUCCCAUGCUUACGACCUCGGGAGAGCAGAUCUCUUCCCCGUCCAAGUACAGAGGAACGCAGGGCUGCAGAAUGAAGGGCUCCAUGUUGUCUGUGCGUAGAAAUGUGCCGGCCCUCUGUUUUUAUUCUCCUCCCUCCACAGACCCCCCUCCCUCUAAGGAAGAAAACUUUUUUUUUUUCCACAACAGGUAUCAUGCUUGUGGAUCAUAUUACACACUUCCGGAGUACUUCCGGUGGGGUCAAAAGGUCAAGGCUAGAGUCAUCAAUCCAAAUGAUGACACAAGGUGUAUGGUUUUUCUUUUUUUAGUGUCGACAGACAGCUGGAAGAGACUAGAGAAGAGAUGCAACAAAAACAAGAAGCCUGGGAGAAAGAACGAAGAGAAGAGCGAGUGAAACAAAGAGAAGAAGAUGAAAAAAAAGACGACAGGAGGAGGAAGAAAGAAUAGAAAAACUGCUGGAAAGUUACAAACAAGAAAAAAUAAAAUACUAAAACAACAAAUUACAAGAGGAACAAAUAAGAAGAGAAAUUGAUGUUGUACAUCACUGUCACAACAGCGUUUGUUUUCAUUCAAAGGCUUUAUGGCUUCAAUACCUGGUGG
Molecule: long non-coding RNA, 1159 nt
Organism: Oreochromis aureus
Lineage: Eukaryota; Metazoa; Chordata; Actinopteri; Cichliformes; Cichlidae
Exons: 3
Source: RefSeq, a predicted model, not a curated record